AUAAAGGCUCUUCUUAGAGCCACCCACAAACAGAUUUCAGUGUAUU
Schistosoma rodhaini is the source of this 46-nucleotide non-coding RNA. The record is from Rfam. NCBI's taxonomy places the organism in Eukaryota, Metazoa, Platyhelminthes, Trematoda, Strigeidida, Schistosomatidae.